GUCUCCGUAGCUCUCUCCACGCCGAGCUUUAUCAUGUCCGACCAGUUGCCCCUCCUGACUGAGUCCAGGCCUCAGGCAUCCUCUGAAGUGGUCUCGGAUAUUGAAAACCGAGCUUAACUCCGAGCCACUGUUCCUUGUUCUUAAGAAGUCAAAGGCAACGCUGCCUCUCAGCUUCUGCAGGAUUGCCUGGAGAAUGGUAAUAAUGAGGACAAUCGUAUUUCUUCAUGGGAUCUUUCUGUGGAGCACAGAAGCUACAAGGAAAAUAUAUCAGAGUUACAGGGAGAGAAGCUCACAUGAUUUAAUUCUAUCAAUCA
Molecule: long non-coding RNA, 314 nt
Filed under: Ictidomys tridecemlineatus (thirteen-lined ground squirrel)
Lineage: Eukaryota; Metazoa; Chordata; Mammalia; Rodentia; Sciuridae
Description: lncRNA (ENSSTOG00000032467.1)
Source: RNAcentral